RNAcentral lists this ribosomal RNA (279 nucleotides) under uncultured Curvibacter sp. RNAcentral describes it as "partial 16S ribosomal RNA". It matches the Rfam family "Bacterial small subunit ribosomal RNA", at positions 8 to 289 of the family's 1533-position model. The record is from RNAcentral. Lineage: Bacteria; Pseudomonadati; Pseudomonadota; Betaproteobacteria; Burkholderiales; Comamonadaceae.
AGAGUUUGAUCCUGGCUCAGAUUGAACGCUGGCGGCAUGCCUUACACAUGCAAGUCGAACGGCAGCACGGGAGCAAUCCUGGUGGCGAGUGGCGAACGGGUGAGUAAUAUAUCGGAACGUGCCCAGUCGUGGGGGAUAACGUAGCGAAAGUUACGCUAAUACCGCAUACGAUCUAUGGAUGAAAGCGGGGGAUCGCAAGACCUCGCGCGAUUGGAGCGGCCGAUAUCAGAUUAGGUAGUUGGUGGGGUAAAAGCCCACCAAGCCUGCGAUCCGUAGCUG